GCCAGAUAAUGAUGACUUGUGCAGAAACCCACCCGGGCUGCCCAUGUCUGAGCCUCUGUGGC
Non-coding RNA from Erinaceus europaeus (western European hedgehog), 62 nucleotides. The record is from Rfam. NCBI's taxonomy places the organism in Eukaryota, Metazoa, Chordata, Mammalia, Eulipotyphla, Erinaceidae.